GAUGAACGCUGGCGGCGUGCCUAAUACAUGCAAGUCGAGCGAACGGACGAGAAGCUUGCUUCUCUGAUGUUAGCGGCGGACGGGUGAGUAACACGUGGAUAACCUACCUAUAAGACUGGGAUAACUUCGGGAAACCGGAGCUAAUACCGGAUAAUAUUUUGAACCGCAUGGUUCAAAAGUGAAAGACGGUUUUGCUGUCACUUAUAGAUGGAUCCGCGCUGCAUUAGCUAGUUGGUAAGGUAACGGCUUACCAAGGCAACGAUGCAUAGCCGACCUGAGAGGGUGAUCGGCCACACUGGAACUGAGACACGGUCCAGACUCCUACGGGAGGCAGCAGUAGGGAAUCUUCCGCAAUGGGCGAAAGCUUGACGGAGCAACGCCGCGUGAGUGAUGAAGGUCUUCGGAUCGUAAAACUCUGUUAUUAGGGAAGAACAUAUGUGUAAGUAACUGUGCACAUCUUGACGGUACCUAAUCAGAAAGCCACGGCUAACUACGUG
This 497-nucleotide ribosomal RNA is filed under the name uncultured bacterium. RNAcentral describes it as "partial 16S ribosomal RNA". It matches the Rfam family "Bacterial small subunit ribosomal RNA", at positions 28 to 507 of the family's 1533-position model. The record is from RNAcentral.